This 110-nucleotide small nucleolar RNA is filed under the name Serpula lacrymans var. lacrymans S7.3. RNAcentral's name for it is "Small nucleolar RNA Z13/snr52". It matches the Rfam family "Small nucleolar RNA Z13/snr52". Rfam says of the family: Z13 or snr52 is a member of the C/D class of snoRNA which contain the C (UGAUGA) and D (CUGA) box motifs. Most of the members of the box C/D family function in directing site-specific 2'-O-methylation of substrate RNAs. Lineage: Eukaryota; Fungi; Basidiomycota; Agaricomycetes; Boletales; Serpulaceae. The record is from Rfam by way of RNAcentral.
CCUUUUUUUAUGAUGAACACAACGCGGAUGUAAAAGUCCAAAGGGACUAUUUGUCCGAGAGCGCAUAAACUCGUGUGGAUUCCUCCGUUGCCUUCCUACUGAUCCUUUUU